RNAcentral lists this ribosomal RNA (590 nucleotides) under Bacillus cereus. RNAcentral's name for it is "bacterial SSU rRNA". It matches the Rfam family "Bacterial small subunit ribosomal RNA", at positions 57 to 628 of the family's 1533-position model. Lineage: Bacteria; Bacillati; Bacillota; Bacilli; Caryophanales; Bacillaceae. The record is from RNAcentral.
GCAAGUCGAGCGAUGGAUUAAGAGCUUGCUCUUAUGAAGUUAGCGGCGGACGGGUGAGUAACACGUGGGUAACCUGCCCAUAAGACUGGGAUAACUCCGGGAAACCGGGGCUAAUACCGGAUAACAUUUUGAACCGCAUGGUUCGAAAUUGAAAGGCGGCUUCGGCUGUCACUUAUGGAUGGACCCGCGUCGCAUUAGCUAGUUGGUGAGGUAACGGCUCACCAAGGCAACGAUGCGUAGCCGACCUGAGAGGGUGAUCGGCCACACUGGGACUGAGACACGGCCCAGACUCCUACGGGAGGCAGCAGUAGGGAAUCUUCCGCAAUGGACGAAAGUCUGACGGAGCAACGCCGCGUGAGUGAUGAAGGCUUUCGGGUCGUAAAACUCUGUUGUUAGGGAAGAACAAGUGCUAGUUGAAUAAGCUGGCACCUUGACGGUACCUAACCAGAAAGCCACGGCUAACUACGUGCCAGCAGCCGCGGUAAUACGUAGGUGGCAAGCGUUAUCCGGAAUUAUUGGGCGUAAAGCGCGCGCAGGUGGUUUCUUAAGUCUGAUGUGAAAGCCCACGGCUCAACCGUGGAGGGUCAUUG